RNAcentral lists this long non-coding RNA (354 nucleotides) under Hordeum vulgare. RNAcentral's name for it is "long non-coding RNA (HVUL_LNC019063)". The record is from RNAcentral. Lineage: Eukaryota; Viridiplantae; Streptophyta; Magnoliopsida; Poales; Poaceae.
UUGUUGUUGUUGUUUUUGUUGUUCUCCUUGUUGUGAUUGUUGUUUUCGUUGUUGUUGUUGUCGUUGUUGUUGUUGUUGUCGUAGUAGUAGUAGUAGUAGUAGUAGUAGUAGUAGUAGUAGUCGUCAUCAUUGUCGUUGUCUUCAUUGUUCUCGUCAUUGUCGUUGUUGUUGACGUUGUUGUUCUUGUUGUUGUUGUUGUUGUUGUUGUUGUUGUUGCUGCUGUUUUUGUUGUUGUUGUCAUUGUUAUCGCUGUUGUCGUUGUUGUCGUUGUUGUCGUUGUUGUUGUUGUAGUUAUCGCUGUUAUCGUUGUUCUCAUCACUAUCAUUGUGGUUAUCGUUGUAAUCGUUGAUGUCG